GACCUCUUAGCUCAGUGGUAGAGCAUGUGAUUCCAGCUCCAAUUUCAAAUUGAAUUGGAAAUUCCACAAGGCCGUCCGUUCAAUCCGGGCAGAGGUCA
This 98-nucleotide transfer RNA is filed under the name Rhizoctonia solani 123E. It matches the Rfam family "tRNA". From Rfam's summary of the family: Transfer RNA (tRNA) molecules are approximately 80 nucleotides in length. Their secondary structure includes four short double-helical elements and three loops (D, anti-codon, and T loops). Lineage: Eukaryota; Fungi; Basidiomycota; Agaricomycetes; Cantharellales; Ceratobasidiaceae. The record is from Rfam by way of RNAcentral.